AAAAUGUGUUAAACCCAAUACCAUCCCUAGCUAACAAUACCAGUGGUCAGGGAUGAUGGGAGUUGUGGUCCCAAAACAUCUGGAGGGCCAGGUUUGCCUAUACCUGUCUUAGAGCCUCCAUAGUUUGCCCUUCCUUUUUUUCUUAGUAACUAUGAUGCAUCUAUCCUGUGAUGGGUUUGUCUGAGAUCAGGUAGUCCCUAGAUUUUAUUUUCUCCAAAUACUACCACACAAUAAGUGGGUGUGGAUGUUAAAGAAUCCCCCUUUCCCCCAAAAUAGCAAAUGUGAAAACUUUAAUGUUGAUUCUUGCUCUGGGAUUGUGUGGACAAUGAUGAUGAGGUUAUAAGUAAUUUAGAAAAACAAAUAGUAUAUAUUAGCAAUAGUUGGGGCAUAAUACCAAUAGCAAUAGUUGGGGCAUAACUACCUGACAUUCAGAAUACAUCUCAAGGCAGCCCUGUUCAGGGAAGUUUUUAAUGUGUAACAUUUUAGUGUAUUUUUGGUUUUUGUGGAAGCUGCCCAGAGUGGCUGUGGAAACCCAGCCAGAUGGGUGGGGUACAAAUAAUAAAUUAUUAUUAUUAUUAUUAUUAUUAAGUGUCUGCAUACCCUCCAACAUUUCUCUGAUGAAAAUAGGGCUGUCCUAAGGAAAAGUGGGACAUUCCAGGAUCAAAUCUGAAACUGGGAAGAGCUUCUGUAAAUCCAGGACUGUCCCUGGAAAAUAGGGAGACUUGGAGGGUCUGUGUCUGCCACUAUGGAAGGGAUUGCUGUGUCUCAACCACUGCUGACAGAUAUCUUCUGAUUCUACUACCUUUGCAGAAUGAUUUUGAGAUUACCAGAUUGUAAUGUAUACAGAACAAAAGAAGCAAUUAUUUGCAAAGUGCUGUUUCAGAGCAGUGAUUUGCUUGCAAGUCCCCCCCUUUCCCAUUGCAUUUUAAGUGCCUUUGCUUGCCCUAAUGUAUAAUGCCCUAUCAAGGGUUUCAAGUAGGUCCUUUAUCCUCUAUCUAUCAUCUAUAUAUAUAUAUAUAUAGAGAGAGAGAGAGAGUGUGAAGCACAGAGUCAUCAAAGGUAUAUCAUUGAUAUGGGACAUGGGUGACACUGUGGUCUAAACCAUUGCGCCUCUUGGGCUUGCUGAUCAGAAGGUUGGCGGUUUGAAUCUGCUCAACGGGAUGAGCUCCCAUUCCUCUGUCCCAGCUCCUGCCAACCUAGCAGUUCGAAAGCACACCAGUGUGAGUAGAUAAAUAGAUAUUGCUGCAGCAGGAAGGUAAACGGCACUUCCAUGCGCUCUAGCACUUGUCAUGAUGUCCCGUUGCACCAGAAGCGGUUUAAUCAUACUGGCAACAUGACCUGGAAAGCUUUCUGUGGACAAAUGCCAGCUCCCUCGGCCUGAAAGUGAGAUGAGCACCACACCCCAUAGUCUCCUUUGACUGGACUUAACUGUUUAGGGGUCCUUUACCUUUUCCCUUUACCUUUUACCAUUGAUAUGCAGUGAUGGUGAGAGAUGAGGAAAAGAACUCCAGUAUCAAGUAGCUUUGGUUUCUAUGCGGGCUUGAGGUGGUGGUUUGUCUUAAAUUUAAUGUGCCUUCGAAGUUGGCAGUCAUUUGUGUGCUUAUCUCCCAAUAUCUUAUGUAUCUAAAAUUGGAUUUUUGAGUACAAAGCUGACAUGUUAUGUAUAGUUGCAUAUAAAAUAUUCAUUCUCAAACUCUUGCUGACACAAUGCUUUCAUUCUCCAUGGGUCUUGUGGAAUGUGGUCUCAGAUAUUGUGGCAGAUUAGAAAUCAGCCUGCCUCAACCGUUGUGUCCUUUACUUCAAGGUCUCCCAGGGCAUCUACCCAUGUGAUAAGGCAUGAGAGACCAGUUUUCAGGACGGAAUCCAUGCAUGACACAGCCUGCCUAAACCAGAGGGCAAGGACUGAAAGAUUAGUAAUAUGCGGGAAGAUGAAACAUUAAUUUGAUGGAAAGGGCAAUCAGAGAAACCAAACUGUGAAUUGAUCUGUUUAUAGUUGACUAGAACGGGGGGGGGGGGGGGGAGAGAAAAGAAAAAAGGUGGGCGCUGAUGAAAGACCAUGCUUUUCAGAGUGAACUGCUUUUGAAAUGAAUGUCAGCUCCUUGAUUCGUAUUGAGAGGUAUCCAGAAAUCCUUUACUCGGGAGCCUGAUCAGGUGUGGCAGCUUCUGCAACAAGCAGCUAUGAAGAAGAAACCGCUGACAAGAGUGUGUCUGCGAUGGUCAUUUAUGCUAAGAGUCAAAGUGGAUGUCCUCAUCAAUGAGCAGAUGACAUGUUAAAUAAGUGCUAGGGUCGAAUGACUGGCAGGCAGGAAACAGGGCAUGAACGCGAUUCCAGAUUGCUAGUUUCUAAAUUCAGUCCAGCUUCUUUCAAGCUUCUAUAGCCAACACUUAUUAAGCACUAUGCUGGAGCAGUAGUGGGUUUAUUCUAUGGGCGUAAAAGCAAGGACAAGGCAAACAGACAUGGCACUUCUCUGCCAAGGCGGAGAACGCAGAAUGACACCAGCACUUCCUUCUUCCUCAGCAUCCUCCAAAAACCCAGAGAGGUUGUCUCCCCUCCCCUGUCCCACAAAAACUGCCCAGGCAAUGCAUACCCUCCAACAUUUCUCUGGGCAGCUUCCAACGCAUAUAAAACAUAAUAAAACAUUAAACAUUUAAAAACUUCCCUAUACAGGGCUGCCUUCAGAUGUCUGCUAAAGGUUGUAUAGUUACUUAUCUCCUUGGACAAAUGGCCUGUUUCCUGUGUCUUACUUAUUUACUAUGUCAGCUGGCUACUUUUUUAAAAAAUUGUUUCAAAGCUUUUAAUUAUGACUUGGGGGGAACUUUGGCCCUGUCCUAUAGCAUAACAAUAUCUAAGUAUAUAAGAUAAAUAUAUUUCCUUAAAAGCAAAUUUGAUUAUAAAAAAUUCACAAAUCAGUCAAUGGAUAUUACAAGUUUAGGGCAGAUAUAUUGGGAAGAAACAUAUAAUGUCCAUUCUAAAUAUAUUCUGUGAAUAUAUAUUUGAGCGAGAAUGAUAUAAAAUGUACAGUAUAGGCUAUAAAUUCUAGAACAGGUGUAGCUGGUGUAAAUAUAUUUCCUUAUCUCACUGAUUGGAUUUUGCACCUCCCUGCAAGAUUUCUGUGUAGCAGGAGAGAGAAAGAGGUUAUGUGUACAGAUGGUUAACUGCUGAAAUGCCCAGAAGGUUCAACUCAUCUGCGCUUGUGAAGAUGAGGAGAAUUUUCCACUGACUAAUUCGCAGGUGUUUUGAAAUCUCUGGAUUACAUUCAGGUUUUGCUGUUCUGUUUUGUUUGAUCAAAUGCCUUAGGUUAGAUGUUGAAAAUGUGAAUAUUUUAUUCUUAUUAUUAUUAUGUCCAAGUGGUUAUAAGAGCAUCAGUACUGCUCUCUAGAGAAAAACGGGGUGCAGAGAAACCUUUUGGCAUUUGGACCUCACAGCCAUUACAAACUGAUGCCUUGGGCUUCCACUGUCCCUGGGCUGCCUCUCCUUUUGCAUGACACAUUGCAUCGCCUCAGGUCAACGACUUAGAGCUCGCCUGCCCAUCGUCAUCAUGGUCAUAAUUUGGCAAGCAAUAAUAAUUAUUUUCCGCCUUAUGCUAGGCCUUUCUCUUGCUCUGUCCUGCGCUCUUUUUAGCCUACAACCAGAAUGGCAGCAAAAACGAGCAGGUGUUUAGGAAGCUUGGCUGCUGAAAAGCGAUGCGCAAGUGUCACUCUCCACUAGAGUAGGCUGUGUUGGCACUGCACUCUGGCUGCUAUCCGUCGACAGUGAGCAGGAAGAGGUAACACAAUGCUUCUUUUAAUAACAAGUUUAAUAGUGAGCUGGAUGAGUAAAAUUAAGGGCUACACUCAACAGCACGGCACAAUUAUGGGCUUAUGCAGAUGAUGGGUGAAUCUGUAUCUCAGGUUAUUAUCCUAUGCAUGCUUACAUGAGAUAAAUCCCUGUUUAACUCAGUGGUACUUAUUCUGAGUAGCCAUGCAAAGGUACAAUACUGUAGAACGUCGUCUACCUACAGUGUGUGUGUAUGUAGAUACACCUGUGUUAAGGUUUACACAUUAUUAAAAUCUAGGUAGAUGUAUACUGAAGAAGCGGGGUGUGUGUGUGUGUGUGUGCGUGCACGCACAGUCUUUCUAGAACUAAAUAAGAACCAACCCAGUUGAGAAAUGUUAAUUUGGUUUUCACGUAGAAGCACAACCAUGGUUUUAUAUCUUCAUAUAACUAGGGGCGGAGGAAGGGGGGAGGUGGAGGUGGGGGUGGAGCGCCCUGGGUGUAUUCACUGAGGGGGGUUACAUUCGGCACACUGCCCACCCACGACUCCCAAGCCUACCCUAAGCCAUCGGGGGAAGGGAGGGAGCUGCACCACUUUGCCGGGGGCAUUCCCCGUUUCCCGCUUCAUUUUGACAGCUUGGGGGAGGCUUGGGAGUCAUGGGCAAGUGGCAUGCCAAAUGUCCACCAUUGACGACUUGCUCCACUCCCAUGGGUGACUCACUCUGCCUCCGGCUACAGGGCGCUCACACUGCUCCGUGCGCCCAAGUGGCACCUGAGAGAGCACCCUCCACACCCCGCGCGCCUCAAGAGCACACCUGCCUUGGGCAGCGCAGGCAUAUGCUCUGCUGCAUAUGACAUCUUCGUGUCUGGAAUUUUAUAAAAAGCUUUUCAUCAAAACAUUUAAAUUAGCGCUCCUCCACUGGAAGAGUACAGUGGUACCUCGGGUUAAGGACUUAAUUCGUUCCGGAGGUCCAUACUUAACCUGAAACUGUUCUUAACCUGAAGCACCACUUUAGCUAAUGGGGCCUCCUGCUGCCAUUGCGCCGCCAGAGCCCGAUUUCUGUUCUCAUCCUGAAGCACUAUUUCUGGGUUAGCGGAGUCUGUAACCUGAAGCGUAUGUAACCCGAAGUACCACUGUACAGUGGAUGAAUUCUUAACUUUCAAAAAAUUGUUUCGCAUAACAAUUACUAACAAAAUUUGCUGCUUUUUUGUCUUUCUUUUUAAACAUAAGAUCACCAGAUGUAUAGGAUUGUCUAUCCUAUACAUUUCUACUCAGAAUUAAUUUUAAUUGGGUGUUCCAAACAUAGAAGCAUAGAAGCAUAGAAUUGCAAUGCAGGAAUCUCAACUAAAGUAUCCAUGGCAGAUGGCCAUUCAACCUCUACUUUGAAACCUCCAAGGAAGGCGAGUCAUCUGAACAUGGUUUGCUAUGGGAAUGUGGUAUACAAAUAAACAGUGAGGAUACUGAGAACAUACACAUAUGCUAAUAAUGACUAAAAUAAGGCCCAUUGAUUUCAAUGGGUCUACUCAGAGUAUGAGGCACUUGGAUGCCACCCAUAACUUUCAGUGGGUAUUUAUUCAUUCAUUGCGCACUUACUCAGCCCAAUUACCAACACUUCACAGUACAGUGGUACCGCUAGUUCAAACUUAAUUUGUUCCGGAGGCCCGUUCUUAAUCUGAAAUUGUUCUUAACUAGAGGCAUGCUUUUGCUAAUGGGGCCUCUUUCUGUUCUCAUCCUGGGGCAAAGUUCUCAACUUGAGGUAAUUCUUCCAGGUUAGCGGAGUUUGUAACCUGAGGCGUUUGUAACUCAAGGUACCACUGUAUAAGAUAAAGAGAAGGAGGCUCUGGGGCUCUGUGGGGGUGGGGCAGUGGACUCCCAGAUGGGAAGUUGGGGUUAUAUAAGAAUGAGGUUGGGGCCCUCUGGAAAAGAGGCAUUGGUAACACAGAAAAGUAUCCUGGUCAAUGUCAGUUUCACAGAUUAUAAGACAGUUGGAGGCAGGACCAUGCAUGGAAAUGCUUUUAGGAAUCUCUCUUUUAAUUGUCAUGUUUCAUUGUUAGAAAUGGAAGCUGGGCCCAAAGCCUAAUGAACAGGGGUUCCUGUGUGGAAAGUGAACUGGGAAGGGGCUGCAACUGCUUUGGGGAUUCCGCUUUCCCAUUCUUGUGCAAAUGGUGAGGACAGAGGUCCCCUUCAGUUUCUCAUGAACGCAGCAUCAAACAACUCCGAGCUUCUCAAAACAGCAGCAGCAGAAUCUUAUUUCAGCAAAGAAGGGGGACAAAUAAUGAAAAACAGCUUCCGAAAGGUUGCUCGGCAGUGUGAGAACUUGGCCCUGCAGUUCACAGCAUUCCAGUAAACAGAGUGCCAGAAAAAUAAUAAUUGGGAUAUACUGAGCUGAGGUAAUGCUGGCAAGAAGCUACGAAAGCCUAACAAAAGACCUCUCCCCCUCCCCACCCGCCUGCAAAGAACUGCUCUUCAUUGCUCCUUGUGUUUUCCUGUCAGAAGAGGCUGUGGGGCUUGUUUCCUGGCAACGUGCCCCAGCUCCUUCGCUCCGCUGAGACCCAUCUACCCCUAGGGGGAGCCCAUCGGCUGUCAGCCUCCAGCAAGAACCUGUGUUUAACUAGCUCCUUCUGGGAUGCAGGCGAGCUUUCUGAGAGCACAAUUAGAGCAUCUGUCAGGAGCAGCAGAACCAGUGCGAGGUGGUGAAAGGUUUUGGUGGCUGCUGGAGUCUUUUAGAGCUAAAUCAUUGGGAAGUGCAUAGAGGCCAGUUUGGAUGACCUGUCCCUCUUCCUCACCUAUCUUUUUUUUAUUUUAAAGGGAAGGGGGAGUUGUGUAAAAACCCACGCGAUAAAUCUUUCCUGCCUGUCAGAGAUUUCAAGUAAACAAAAUAAUAGUUCUCAGGAGAGGUUUAUGCUAAAACAUAGAAAUUUCCUCCCCUUUUAAGUCUGCGGGUGUUUAUUGUUUUUUCAAUGUACGUUAGCCAACGCUGCACUUUUUCUUUUUAACAAAAAAACAUCUGAGAGAUUCUAUAGGCAACUUACAGCCUAAAUUUCUGCAACCAGCUUCCCAAGCCUCCACUGAUUCUCCAUUUCUCCCCCCACUUUUCUUUGGAUCAUGUGUUCACCAGCGGGUACUGUGACCAGUGUCGACCUUUUACCUUUGAGAGUUUUGUAAAAGAAGGAAUAUACAGGUGCAGAUUACAAUGCUGCCAUCAACAGAGGUGAACUUUCUGAAAUUCCCUCUUCUGCAGCCCUGGCCUGCAUUGCAUCUGGUCACUGUGCAUACAUCACUGUCCAGCCAGCCAGAUUUGCAUUGCCGCAGAAGCACAGACACAUAGAACAGGUGAUAACUCCCCAAAUUGCCCAGCCUACAAUUUAACUGAGUUACAUUUCUAUGAUUGAACAACAGAGAAGGGGGGCAUAGCAUAGAAGAGGAAAGAAGUGCUUUCCUCGAACAAAACAAGAAUCCUCCAUCUAGGAUGCACUACAUUUAUUUCAGGAUUUAUAAAUUGCUUCCCAACAUAUGUUUUCAAAGUGGUAUACAAGAGAACUACUUAUAUAUAACAUAUAUAAUAAAAAUGAACUAUACAUAACAAUCUAAAAAAAUAUUCGAAGCAUCAAAUUACAAAAUUCUACAUAGCAUACAAUAUAAAAUGGCUGAGUCACUCUUCGGGGAAAGCUCUCUUAGAUAAUUUAUCAACAGCUGCCUAAUGCUGGGUGCUUGUUGAAGUUCAGUUGGAAUCUGAGUCCACAGAUCAGCUAUAUGCAUGUAAGAGGCAGGGCCGGUCCACCCAUGAGGUGGGGUGAAACAGUUGCCUCAGGCGGUGGGAACCCCCAAAGUGGCACCUCCAUGAGCACCCCACCCACCCUGCCACCUCCACCAGUGUCAGAGAAAUGGGGCCAGCAUUGGCGCCAAUUUCCGACAAGUUCUUUUUUCUCCUUUUCCUUUUUAUUAAAGAUUUCCUUGAUUUACAAAA
This 7722-nucleotide long non-coding RNA is filed under the name Podarcis lilfordi (Lilford's wall lizard). The record is from RNAcentral. Lineage: Eukaryota; Metazoa; Chordata; Lepidosauria; Squamata; Lacertidae.